Molecule: transfer RNA, 77 nt
Filed under: Caldichromatium japonicum
Lineage: Bacteria; Pseudomonadati; Pseudomonadota; Gammaproteobacteria; Chromatiales; Chromatiaceae
Description: tRNA-Met
Rfam family: tRNA
About the family: Transfer RNA (tRNA) molecules are approximately 80 nucleotides in length. Their secondary structure includes four short double-helical elements and three loops (D, anti-codon, and T loops).
Source: RNAcentral
GGCUACGUAGCUCAGCCGGUUAGAGCAUCGCACUCAUAAUGCGGGGGUCCCCAGUUCGAGUCUGGGCGUAGCCACCA